UUGACAUGUUGGUAGUAGUGAAGCGAAAGCGGAGCGACCCUUCGGGGAGCCAUCACAGGUGCUGCAUGGCUGUCGUCAGCUCGUGUCGUGAGAUGUUGGGUUAAGUCCCGCAACAAGCGCAACCCUCGUCGCUAGUUAUACGUGUCUAGUGAGACUGCCGGUAUCAAACCGGAGGAAGGUGGGGAUGACGUCAAGUCAGCAUGGUCUUUAUAUCCAGGGCUACACACACGCUACAAUGGCCGGUACAAUAGGUUGCCACACCGCGAGGUGGAGCUAAUCCUCAAAGCCGGUCUCAGUUCGGAUAGCAGUCUGCAACUCGACUGCUUGAAGGCGGAGUUGCUAGUAACCGCGCGUCAGCAAUAGUGCGGUGAAUGCGUUCCCGGGCCUUGUACACACCGCCCGUCACAUCAUGGGAGUCGGUAACACCUGAAGUUGGUGACCUAACCGCAAGGGAGGAGCUACCUAAGGUGGGGCCGGUAACUGGGAUGAAGUCGUAACAAGGUA
This 504-nucleotide ribosomal RNA is filed under the name uncultured bacterium. Its description in RNAcentral is "bacterial SSU rRNA". It matches the Rfam family "Bacterial small subunit ribosomal RNA", at positions 981 to 1498 of the family's 1533-position model. The record is from RNAcentral.